GACAGAGGGUGCAAACGUUGCUCGGAAUUACUGGGCGUAAAGCGCGUGUAGGCGGACCACCAAGUCGGACGUGAAAGCCCUGAGCUCAACUCAGGAACUGCAUCCGAAACUGGCGGUCUGGAGUAGUGGAGAGGAAAGCAGAAUUCCUGGUGUAGAGGUGAAAUUCGUAGAUAUCAGGAGGAACACCGGUGGCGAAGGCGGCUUUCUGGACCGGUUCUGACACUGAGGAGCGAAAGCGUGGGGAGCGAUCCGG
This 253-nucleotide ribosomal RNA is filed under the name uncultured bacterium. Its description in RNAcentral is "partial 16S ribosomal RNA". It matches the Rfam family "Bacterial small subunit ribosomal RNA", at positions 524 to 776 of the family's 1533-position model. The record is from RNAcentral.